This 86-nucleotide ribosomal RNA is filed under the name Bacillus anthracis (anthrax bacterium). RNAcentral also lists the same sequence under 10 other names. The record is from RNAcentral. Lineage: Bacteria; Bacillati; Bacillota; Bacilli; Caryophanales; Bacillaceae.
GUUCCCAUACCGAACACGGAAGUUAAGCUCUCUAGCGCCGAUGGUAGUUGGGACCUUGUCCCUGUGAGAGUAGGACGUUGCCAGGC